This 90-nucleotide microRNA precursor is filed under the name Vicugna pacos (alpaca). RNAcentral describes it as "miRNA (ENSVPAG00000015605.1)". The stretch from base 28 to 90 matches the Rfam family "mir-181 microRNA precursor family", at positions 1 to 65 of the family's 83-position model. From Rfam's summary of the family: In this case the mature sequence comes from the 5' arm of the precursor. The extents of the hairpin precursors are not generally known and are estimated based on hairpin prediction. The products are thought to have regulatory roles through complementarity to mRNA. The record is from RNAcentral. Lineage: Eukaryota; Metazoa; Chordata; Mammalia; Artiodactyla; Camelidae.
UGCCAGGGCCAGGACUCAGUCUUCAGAGGACUCCAAGGAACAUUCAACGCUGUCGGUGAGUUUGGGAUUUGAAAAAACCACCGACCGUUG